GAUCAGCAAAGCCGGGGAAUGUGCAGACAUUCAUCGGAACUCCCGGCAAAAGGCUUGCAAAGGUGAUUUCCCUUUC
Roseburia sp. 499 is the source of this 76-nucleotide non-coding RNA. The record is from Rfam. Lineage: Bacteria; Bacillati; Bacillota; Clostridia; Lachnospirales; Lachnospiraceae.